GGGAAAAGAAACUUGUAAUGAAUUGUGCCAAAAUGAUUGUUCAUAUUGCAAAAUAAUUCUAAGAUAUUAAUUGAAUAGAAUGUAUUAAGUGCAUCUAAAAGAAAGGGAUAUGGGGACACCUACAGGUGACUAAGGAAACCUAUCAGUGGAAUCGGCCAUUUUCUCCUCAGUCGCAUGAAAGCCGUUGAGGAGAAUGUUAUGAGACCGGAUGAGCUGUAUUUCAUGUCUGUUUGGUGUCAUUUCAUAUAUUCCAGUAAAUGCGAUGAGUGAGCUCAGCCUACGUCUCCGUGUUGUCCUUUCCGGAAGGGUCGAAAGAAAGAACCAGAAAAGUGGGGUUACAUAUGCAGGGUC
Molecule: long non-coding RNA, 351 nt
Organism: Sinocyclocheilus anshuiensis
Lineage: Eukaryota; Metazoa; Chordata; Actinopteri; Cypriniformes; Cyprinidae
Exons: 3
Source: RefSeq, a predicted model, not a curated record